GUGCAACUCGAACGGACACGGGUUUUCCCCUUAUUUUGCCUUGAUUAAUUUGAGGGUAAUAUGAGGGGGAUGUGCUGACGAGUGGGAGACGGGAGAGUAAAACAUAAGACUCUCCCUAGUGGAGUGGGAUAACCUAGGAAAACUUAGGGAAAUCCCGCAUAAUCUCUACAGAAAAAAGCGGGAGACUGAAGGGUCUUGCUCUUUUAUAUGACUCUACCUCAGAUUAUCUAGGGGGGGGGAAAAAGGCUUCCCAGGGAUAUGACCCGUAUGUGGUCUGAGAGGACCACCACCCACUCUGGCUCUGACACACGGCCCACACUCCUACGGGGGGCAGCAGGGGGGAAUAUUGGACAAUGGGCGGAAGCCUGAUCCAGCUAUCCCGCGUGUGAAAAAAAGGUCUGCGGGUUGUAAAGCUCUUUCGGGGGGGAGGAGAGGGUGAGGGCUAACACCUUUCAUCUGACACUUUCCCCGUAUAAGACGCACCGUCUAACUCUGUGCCAGCAGCCGCGGAUAUACAGAGGGCGCGAGCGUUACUCAGUAUCUCUGCGCGUAGAGGGUGCGUACGUGGUGUGAUGAGAUGUGUGAGAAAGUUCUGCUCUUACUCUGGAUCUAGCUCUUGACACUGUCACACUAGAGUACUGUAGAAAAGGUGGUAUUCCCUGUGUAGCAGAGAAAUGCAUAUAUAUCAGAGGGCACAUCAGUGGCAACGCGACUUUCUAGACA
RNAcentral lists this ribosomal RNA (723 nucleotides) under uncultured Burkholderia sp. RNAcentral describes it as "partial 16S ribosomal RNA". It matches the Rfam family "Bacterial small subunit ribosomal RNA", at positions 55 to 735 of the family's 1533-position model. Lineage: Bacteria; Pseudomonadati; Pseudomonadota; Betaproteobacteria; Burkholderiales; Burkholderiaceae. The record is from RNAcentral.